RNAcentral lists this ribosomal RNA (283 nucleotides) under uncultured bacterium. RNAcentral describes it as "partial 16S ribosomal RNA". It matches the Rfam family "Bacterial small subunit ribosomal RNA", at positions 28 to 309 of the family's 1533-position model. The record is from RNAcentral.
GACGAACGCUGGCGGCGUGCUUAACACAUGCAAGUCGAGCGGUAAGGCCCUUUCGGGGGUACGACGAGCGGCGAACGGGUGAGUAACACGUGGGUGACCUGCCCUCAGCUCUGGGAGUAAGCCGUGGGAAACCGGGUCUAAUACUGGAUAUGACUCCAUGACGCAUGUUGUGGGGUGGAAAGCCUUGUGCGGCUGAGGAUGGGCCCGCGGCCUAUCAGCUUGUUGGUGGGGUGAUGGCCUACCAAGGCGACGACGGGUAGCCGGCCUGAGAGGGCGACCGGCC